UACAGAGGUCUCAAGCGUUGUUCGGAUUCAUUGGGCGUAAAGGGCGCGUAGGCGGCAAGGCAAGUCGGGUGUGAAAGCUUGGGGCUUAACCCCGAAAGGGCACUCGAAACUGCGUUGCUAGAGGGCCGGAGAGGAGAUCGGAAUUCACGGUGUAGCAGUGAAAUGCGUAGAGCUCGUGAGGAAGACCGGUGGCGAAGGCGGAUCUCUGGACGGCCCCUGACGCUGAGGCGCGAAGGCCAGGGGAGCAAACGGG
RNAcentral lists this ribosomal RNA (253 nucleotides) under uncultured bacterium. RNAcentral's name for it is "partial 16S ribosomal RNA". It matches the Rfam family "Bacterial small subunit ribosomal RNA", at positions 524 to 776 of the family's 1533-position model. The record is from RNAcentral.